UUGCCUUCGUUUGGUUUCUUACACCGUAAACGUUUUCUGAUGCAAGACGUAAUGAAUCCACUUCUAGCUCAGUGCCAUCAAUAUCAGUCAACGGUGGAUUUAUCGGUCAGAUCAAGUCAUAAAAACAUUCAGUAGGCUUUAAAUACAAACGGGCACCUCUGUCGAUACUUACUCACACGACAUAGCCUGCGGCAAUGUCCGACUCAAUGAUUUACAGUCGAUGCAAAUGACUUAGCCAGUUAAAACAAAUGCAAAAUAACUCCGAUAUCGAUGUUAACAAUUUAGCUAAAAAUAAUCCAAAAUAAGCCAUCGAUUUGAUGUCUCAUGAUUGACCGGUCACGCGAUAACGAAAGUACAUCCCCAUUGAAUUCGGUUCUGUGGCCCACUUCAAAAGGUGAGGAGGCCCUUUCCUGUCAGGCUCAGCAGGAGGUUGCAUACUAAUGCUCUACCUGCCUGUUAGAAGUGCAGACAGCUGACCUGAGAACAGAAGGUAGAGAACACAUGUCACGCCAUAGGUAUCAAAGUCCACUGGCCCAGCACUUCAGCAAGCCUCACAUCAUGACGGGGAGCAGGCUGCACAUGAGAAAACCAGCAAACCAGAUCGUUGUGAUCAGUGUGUCUCCUCAUCAAACAAAAUCCUCUCAAAUCUGCACAGGCAGACCUCCGCCCCGUGUCAUCGGAGGCCAGCCGGCUUAUACUGUCCAUCGGAUACUGGGUGCAGCGGUCCUGGCAGUAUCUGGUGGACUGGGAAGGCUACAGUCCCGAGGAGCGCUCCUAGGUUCCUGCCAAAGACAUACUGGACCCUGACCUCAUUCGACAGUUCAGGGCCCUCCACCCCGAGAAAGCUGGUAGGAACGUCAGGAGCCGUUCCUAGGGGGGGGAUUCUGUUAGGAUUUGGCUAGGAUUGUUCCGGUUUUGGCCACUAGAUGCCCCCAUUGUGCUUUUUUGACCCUUUUGUUUUCUCCUGUUUCCAGAUUAUUAUUUGCACCUGUGCCUCGUUUCCCUUGAAUGUAUUUAAACCCUUAGUUUCACUCAGUUCUUUGCUCUGUGUUUGAAUGUUAGCACCCAGCCCCAGCGAUGCGGUGAACAUUUGUUACUCCAGUUGGACUCUCUUGUGGUACUCUGUUUUUGUUCUCGUUUAUUUAUUUUUGAUUAUCUUUUGAGGCGUUUUCCCUGUUGUACCUACCACCUUGUGGAUUUACCUUUUCACUUGGAGGAUAACCUUUUUUUUACCUUUCUCUUGGAAUUACUUUUGAUGUUGUGGAUUUAUAUUUUUGCCUGAAGUACUUUCCUUUUUACUUUAUUAAAACACCGUCUCAAGUACUGCUUCUGGGUUAUGCCGACUAUUAGUUGCUCAGUUUGCUAAGUGACUGUUUCUCACACCGGAGACCUGACUCCAUAAUAGUUCGUAACCGGGUCCUGACAAAAUAAUAAAAAUACGAAAACGGUUAUUUUGUUUGUGCUUGAUCUUGUGUAUUCUGAACUAUGUAACUCCUAUUUUCUGAUCAUUUCCUCACAAUCUCCCAGAUGUCUUCUUUCCAAAUAUACCAAGUUUUUGCAUAUCAGAAUCCUGUAAUUACACAUGAAUAGCAGUUAUUUUGGGGUAUGGUCUAUUUAGGCGGAAAUCUAGAUUUUGUCGUUACAUUUUCGAGUUUACACCAUGCCCGUGAGUGUGCCAUUCCCUCAGAACCCUCUAUCCCACAGACAAUUCAAUCACAUAUUUGACUGCCCUGAGGACACCAUCACCCUUAAUAGGUCAUUAUCCUUGCCUCAAUUACAAGGGAGUAAUCAGCAAUCUGCUCCUAA
This is a long non-coding RNA of Oncorhynchus tshawytscha (Chinook salmon), 1806 nucleotides long. RefSeq lists it as uncharacterized. The transcript has 4 exons. The record is from RefSeq and is a predicted model, not a curated record. Lineage: Eukaryota; Metazoa; Chordata; Actinopteri; Salmoniformes; Salmonidae.